This 326-nucleotide ribosomal RNA is filed under the name uncultured Actinomycetes bacterium. RNAcentral describes it as "bacterial SSU rRNA". It matches the Rfam family "Bacterial small subunit ribosomal RNA", at positions 28 to 351 of the family's 1533-position model. Lineage: Bacteria; Bacillati; Actinomycetota; Actinomycetes. The record is from RNAcentral.
GACGAACGCUGGCGGUGUGCUUAACACAUGCAAGUGGUGCGACGAACCAGAGCUUGCUCUGGGCAAAGCCGCGAACGGGUGAGUAACACGUGGGUAAUCUACCCCGAUGACCGGGACAACCCGAGGAAACUCGGGCUAAUACCGGAUGUGGUGUACAGGCUUAAGCCUGUCCACUAAAGGUAGCUUCGGCUUCCGCAUUGGGAGGGCCCGCGGCCCAUUAGCUUGUUGGUGGGUCAAGGCCUACCAAGGCAACGAUGGGUAGCUGGUCUGAGAGGACGAUCAGCCACACUGGGACUGAGACACGGCCCAGACUCCUACGGUGGCUG